This 73-nucleotide transfer RNA is filed under the name Bos taurus (domestic cattle). It matches the Rfam family "tRNA". From Rfam's summary of the family: Transfer RNA (tRNA) molecules are approximately 80 nucleotides in length. Their secondary structure includes four short double-helical elements and three loops (D, anti-codon, and T loops). Further hydrogen bonds mediate the characteristic L-shaped molecular structure. tRNAs have two regions of fundamental functional importance: the anti-codon, which is responsible for specific mRNA codon recognition, and the 3' end, to which the tRNAs corresponding amino acid is attached (by aminoacyl-tRNA synthetases). tRNAs cope with the degeneracy of the genetic code in two manners: having more than one tRNA (with a specific anti-codon) for a particular amino acid; and 'wobble' base-pairing, i.e. permitting non-standard base-pairing at the 3rd anti-codon position. The record is from Rfam by way of RNAcentral. RNAcentral also lists the same sequence under 4 other names. Lineage: Eukaryota; Metazoa; Chordata; Mammalia; Artiodactyla; Bovidae.
UCCCUGCUGGCUCAGGUGGUAGAGAAUCUGCCUGUAAUGCAGUGAGACCUGGGUUUGAUCCCUGGGUUGGGAA